Molecule: long non-coding RNA, 2266 nt
Organism: Monodelphis domestica (gray short-tailed opossum)
Lineage: Eukaryota; Metazoa; Chordata; Mammalia; Didelphimorphia; Didelphidae
Source: Ensembl
GCAUGCGCGCUCUCCGCGUCGCCCCGCGGGAGUCGUAGUCUUCCGGGCCUUGCCCACCAGGCAGAGGGCGACGGGGCCGGACUACGACUCCCAGGGUGCACCGCGUGGGCGAGCCCCGAACUCGAGGACGGGGCGAGAGCGAGCGGCGCUGGCCCGCCCGGACGAGGGCUGUCAAUGGAGGAGCAGAGCAGGAGGAGCCGAGGACGAACAUGGCUGCGGCUGCUGCUGCUGCGGCUGCACCUGGGGCCUGCUCGGCUGCAGGGGGGAGGGGAGAGGGGGGAGGGGAACACGGCCUGCGCCCCGGCUCCCGAACACAAAGAGCGGACCCCCGCUGCUGCCCCGCCGCGGGGGGCCGGCCACAAAGAAGUUUAAAAGAGAAAGGGAGAGCGAUUUCUGCUCUGGGGCGGCCCCGGGCAGCAUUCAGACAGAGGGACAGGACCCAACUCCCUCCUCCCAAAGGGCUUCUGCCCGGAGAAGCCUAUGUGUGCUCUCACAUCCAGCGGGGUUCCUGGGCCCGAGAGCUUUCAACCACGAAACCUCCGUUUUCCAAUCUGUGAAAUGGGCGAAAUGAUGCCUCCCUUCCACAUAGGCGGACCGUGCAGACUCCGGAGGGAAUCCUCGGAGAAAAUGCUGGAAUGGAUCAUUAAAGAGAUGGUUGAUGAACAUUUCAAAAUGGAAUCCACAGUCAUAAAGAGCUCGAAUCUGGCUCUCCACUAAGCCCUCCCAGCCUUUCCGCUGAAUGCCUCAUCUCCUACUUUACUCUUCGAUCCCGAGAUCUCCCUCCGCUAGGAAGAGGUCCCAGAGCAGAGGGGGAAAGAGGGAGCUAAAGUGUUUAUAUAACAAUGCUUUUCACAGCUAAUUCUCGGCCUCUUUGGACACCUUGGGACAACACUCAAAGGUUUGCAGGGCUCCGCCCCCCAAAUACCCAAGCAGCUCACCCAGCCCGCAUUCCCCCUCGGCUAAUCCUUAAGCCCAUCCCUCCACCCCCCCCCCUCUUUCCCCCAAGCAGCUGGGCUCCCCGAAGAAAGACGAGAGCUCUCGCUGAUGUCACCCACCAUUCAUCUCCGCUCCCUCACUCCACAAACAUGGAGCGCCUUCCAAGGGCUCUUGGGGAAGGGAGCCGCAGAGAAAGGCCACCAGGCGACUCCCUCUGGCCCAGGCUUCUUUUUCUACUGGAGGCCUGGGGGGGAGAGGAGGAGAUGAGGACAUUGAAGCUCACACAAGUUACGUGACUUGUCCAAGGUCAUACAAGAGGGAGAAACUUGGAGUCAUCACAAGAACAUUUCAGUUUUCGGAAGUCAGUCCAGGCCACUCUUCUAUCCUCUUCGACUCCGGGGUAAAGUCACAGUCCCUGUUAGCAGUAUCUGUCUGAGACUGGAGAGAACAGAUAAACAGGAGAGAGAGAGAGACCUAAAAGCUGAUAGCACAAGCUUAUCAUUUACUUGUAUAUCACAGUCUGAACAAUGGGCUUGCUUCAUCCACUUUGUUUUUUCUGUUUGGAUAGUUAGGCCAUGCUCUUAGGAGUGAUCCUCUUUAGAAGAUUCUGAAAUGUUCUGGAGUUCCCACUUGGAAGACAGAUUGCAAGUCCCUGACCCUCCCCCAAUGUUACUUUUACUCUAAGCCACCUGGCCUAAGGAUUCAUGGCACAUAAGCCAUCUAAAAUCACUUCUGGGGGGCAGCUGGGUAGCUCAGUGGAUUUAGAGACAGGAGGCUCUAGGUUCAAAUCUGACCUCAGACACUUUCCAGCUAUGUGACCCUGGGCAAGUCAUUUAACCCCCAUUGCCUAGCCCUUACCGCUCUUCUGCCUUGGAACCAAUAUACAGUAUUGAUUCCAAGAUGGAAGGUGAGGGUUAAAAAGAAUAUUUUUUUUAUUAAAUCACUUCUGGGGGGCAGCUGGGUAGCUCAGCCAGGCCUGGAGAUGGGAGGUUCUGGAUUCAAAUCUAUCCUCUAAUAAGUCCUAGCUGUAUGACCCUGGGUAAAUCACUUGACCCCCAUUGCCACUCUUCUGCCUUGGAACCAAUACACAGUAUUGAUUCCAAGAUGGAAGGUGAGGGCUUAACAAAACAUUUUUUAAAUUAAAUCACUUUUGGAUCAUCUAGGAAAAUGCUGCAGCUGCCAGGUAAACUCAAUUAGAGCCCUCCCCAGGCACAAUUUUCUUCUUCCUUCUCUUUCCAUUGUAACCUUUGGAGGCUUCCUUUGUUGCAGUGCAGUAAAAGGUCUCAGAAUUUAGAAUAAAAAAAUAUUGGCUUUAGGAUUUGCUACUUAA